Molecule: long non-coding RNA, 476 nt
Organism: Vigna angularis (adzuki bean)
Lineage: Eukaryota; Viridiplantae; Streptophyta; Magnoliopsida; Fabales; Fabaceae
Exons: 4
Source: RefSeq, a predicted model, not a curated record
AUUUUUUAAAGGGUUGGGAGGGUGACGGCAUCUUCCAUCUUCCAAGAAGACCUUUUCCUGGAUGUCGAUCAUAAACGCCAUAGGAACUGUCGCUCUUCCCUUUUUAAAGAAACCGUAGAACCAUUCCUGGUGUCGUGAGCUUCGUUUUGAACCGAUCACCUCAACGUUCCGAUACUGAUCGGGUUGGAAGAAUUAAGUGAUCCUGUGAGAGUAGAGAACUGUUAGCGGACGAACCAAACACCUUGAGUUAGGACGUUCACUUCUGAUCUAGAUGGGGAGGCGUUACUUGAGGAAACACUAGAAGAAGAAGGUUUGGAGGAUACGAAUCUGGUGGAAGUUGAGGUGAAGUCCGAACAGUAGACGUUCGGUUUGUAUCUUUGCUUUGUAAAUGGGUUGGUCGGGGGCGCUAAGGUCGAGUGUGGUUUUGUAAUUAACUUCUUGUAAGGUCGUUCAGCCUAAACCCUUGCUUUCGUUAA